AUACGUUUAUUCUGCCUCCCGUGUUUGUCUUUCCGUAGUAUGCUAUUUUGAACGUGACAUGCAGGGACCUGUCAAUCAACUGAGGUAUCCAAUCAGGUUCCAGAGGUGGCCAGCGCUACCAGGGCAUCACUGUAGCUCCGCCCCUUUAUAAAUUUUCAUAAAAUAUUACUUCAUGAAAAUUCUUUUUAGGAAAUUUCAGCCAAAUGAAGGCAAAUAAUUACAAAAGUAAAGCAAUUUCAAAUGUGAAAACUGUUUGGUGAGUUAGUGAGUAUGUGAGUAUUGGUUGUGACUGUGUGACAGGCAUAAUAACUGGCAAGAAAAAAAAUCAGAUAAAAGUGGGCACCAUGAGUGAUCGGAGGACGACGAGAGAGGUCUAUAAAUACGGCUGGAGUUCUUCGUUGAUAUUGUAGGAGCUAAUGCCACUGAGCGUGCUCCCGCUUCAUAGCUGGUCGAACCAUGCUGUUGAGCAUGGGUCCCGCUAACUUCAAUGCAUGUCAGCCCGCUUACAGGACAGGCAUUCCCGGCCAUGAGUGACGGUAGAGACCCGGCUCCCUGCUCAUAGGCCGGGGAAAGCCACAAUACAAGCCGGCUGCCAAUGCAUGAUAAUGAAGCGGUAGAGCUCCGGUGGGGUUAGUUCCUACUUUUGCAACUAAAGAGGUAGUAGUAGUUGGUUAUUAAGUUUUGUAUUUCAUAUCAAUGUGAAAAAUUUAAUGAGUAAAUAAAUAUAUAUUUUUUUUAUUUUACUCUCUCAUUCUGACCGUGUAAUAAUGCUAAACCAUUUAUCUAAGGAGUCACCUCAUGUGUAAACGGUUCAAAGGGGAAAAUAUUUUUUUGGGGGGGGGGACAUUAGAAAAAAAGUGAUGAAAUCAGAGCCUGCAUGCCUUCUAAAUGUGGCAGGUUGAUAUAACAUAGUUAGAUUGUGUUCUUUAAUAGUGGUGUCACUGAGUCCUUGUUUUGUCAUUUGCCAGUUCCUCAUGAUGUGACCCUGCCUGCAUUUGGGGUGUCGUGUCACGUGAGCACUGACUGAGCUGAUGUGUUUACUUGCAUACUUGACCAUGAUUGGCUUCCAACAGUUGUGAUGUCGUGGCUGAGGUCACCGUGAUCGUACAGGUGUGUUGUUUUUAUUCUUGUACCUGUACAGUAUGUAAUGAGUUUGAAGAAUCACUGGAAAAUCCUGACUAUCAACUUAGUUGGGCAUUGGCAAUGUCCUCUAGCAACGCCAAAGCAGCUGCUGUAUCAUGUGGCACAGUCAUCACGCAAUGCAUAAAAGUAGGCAAUUAUUGAUGUAUGGUUCAUUCAUGAGUGUGAUUUAUAACUAAAUCACUUUUAAAAGAUACCAGCAUGAAUGCAAGUCCUGCAACCAAGUGUCCCUCACUUGAACUCAAAGAUAGGCUUAGAAAAAAAAACCUCUUUCAGUCUGACACAAUCUCUGAAUCAAAAUUAUUUGGUAAUUUUUUUCUCUCUCUCUCUCACCAUAGUUAUGUGAAAAAGGAAGGACGUCAUCUUCAUCAAAACAAGAUGAGAACGUUAUCGUUGUCCCUUUUCUUCUGUCACGUUUCAUCACCAGGCUGCACUACAGCAUCUAUUGACAGGCGCGAUCCCACUACUGAGCGGCACGGGGGCUUUGACCUGCUCCGUCUCCGACCUGGGCCGGUGCACCCCUCCUUAGACGACCUGGUGGUCCCGGGCUCCCCCAGGAGCACCAUAUCGAUCCCGAACUUAGUGCGGACACCCGAUCGACAUAGUCCGCUGCAGCUCAGAGGUCCUGAGCUCAAACGAUCCUCCAGCCUCAGCCUCCCGGGAGCUUGGAUUACAGGCGCGCGCCACCGCACCCGGCCAGGAAACUCUGCGUCAUAGAGGGUCUGCAC
Long non-coding RNA from Acanthopagrus latus (yellowfin seabream), 1868 nucleotides. RefSeq lists it as uncharacterized. The record is from RefSeq and is a predicted model, not a curated record. The transcript is spliced from 3 exons. Lineage: Eukaryota; Metazoa; Chordata; Actinopteri; Spariformes; Sparidae.